GCCUGGCUGGCUUAGUUGGUAGAGCAUGAGACUCUCCAUCUCAGGGUCGUGAGUUCAGACCCCAUGUUGGGCU
This is a non-coding RNA of Hyaena hyaena (striped hyena), 73 nucleotides long. The record is from the annotation of a RefSeq genome assembly. Lineage: Eukaryota; Metazoa; Chordata; Mammalia; Carnivora; Hyaenidae.